This 831-nucleotide ribosomal RNA is filed under the name uncultured crenarchaeote. RNAcentral describes it as "bacterial SSU rRNA". It matches the Rfam family "Archaeal small subunit ribosomal RNA", at positions 48 to 859 of the family's 1478-position model. The record is from RNAcentral. Lineage: Archaea; Thermoproteati; Thermoproteota.
GACUGCGAGUCGAGCGUUUCUAGCUAUGUUGAGACGCGGCAUACGGCUCAGUAACACGUGGCUAACCUACCCUCAGGACGGGGACAAACCCGGGAAACUGGGGCUAAUAUCCGAUAGGCGAGGAAUCCUGGAAUGGUUCUUCACCCAAAGGACAUUGGAAACAUGCUUUCUCUGUCGCCUGGGGAUGGGGCCGCGACCGAUCAGGUUGUUGGUGAGGUAAUGGCUCACCAAGCCUUUAACCGGUACGGGCCAUGAGAGUGGUAGCCCGGAGAUGGGUACUGAGACAAGGACCCAGGCCCUACGGGGCGCAGCAGUCGCGAAAACUCCGCAAUGCACGAAAGUGUGACGGGGCUACCCCGAGUGCCGUCCGCUGAGGAUGGCUUUUCCUUGGUGUAACUAGCCGGGGGAAUAAGGAGAGGGCAAGACUGGUGUCAGCCGCCGCGGUAAUACCAGCUCUCCGAGUGGUAGGGAUGAUUAUUGGGCUUAAAGCGUCCGUAGCCGGCUUAGCAAGUUUCCUGUUAAAUUCAGCGACCUAAUCGUUGAGCCGCGGGAAAUACUACUAGGCUAGGAGGCGGGAGAGGUCGACGGUACUUCUGGGGUAGGGGUGAAAUCCUAUAAUCCCGGGAGGACCACCAGUGGCGAAGGCUGUCGACUAGAACGCGCUCGACGGUGAGGGACGAAAGCUGGGGGAGCGAACCGGAUUAGAUACCCGGGUAGUCCCAGCUGUAAACGAUGCGGGCUAGGUGUUGGGGUGGCUACGUGCCACUUCAGUGCCGCAGGAAGCCAUUAAGCCCGCCGCCUGGGGAGUACGGCCGCAAGGCUGAAACUUAA